CCGGAGGGUAAGCGUUGCCGGAUCUCGACGACUCCAACCUUCUUUGACAGAGCGACCAUCUCUUCGGCUGUGCUGGUGCACGCGACAACAACUCAGUGGGGCUAGGGCACAGCGAGGGCUCUGAUUCGCGUCGUCCCCAGCCAGUUAAUCUCCUCAUUCAUCCUAUUCAAUCUGUUGCUUCUCUUGAGCCAAUCACAGCCUUCUACACUUCUUGCGGCUGAUAGGGUCUCGGAUGAACAGGUGAUGUUCUGUUGAGGAGGAGGCGUCAAAUCUUUUCCCCUCUGCUUCGAUGAGAAGUUCCCGACCAGAAUUCCCUAAAUCACAGUCACUAGAAAAGUUUCUUAUUUCACAAAGGGGAAGUUGCCGCACUACAGUCCUGUUGAAUUCU
This is a long non-coding RNA of Zingiber officinale, 388 nucleotides long. RefSeq lists it as uncharacterized. The record is from RefSeq and is a predicted model, not a curated record. The transcript has 3 exons. Lineage: Eukaryota; Viridiplantae; Streptophyta; Magnoliopsida; Zingiberales; Zingiberaceae.